This is a long non-coding RNA of Oncorhynchus nerka (sockeye salmon), 295 nucleotides long. RefSeq lists it as uncharacterized. The transcript is spliced from 3 exons. NCBI's taxonomy places the organism in Eukaryota, Metazoa, Chordata, Actinopteri, Salmoniformes, Salmonidae. The record is from RefSeq and is a predicted model, not a curated record.
UGAGCUGAUGCUCUAUCUUACAGUGAAAAGGGAAACAUUAAUUCCACGCCUAUACCUGUUCCCUAGUGACCCCGGCCAAAUACAGGCUGUGGAACAACAGGAAAUAAAGUUUCAAGGAUCUAAAAGGUUUCCCAACACAAGACCAGAGCGGUCCUUCAAACUGAAGAGUUCCUUCAGACUGAACAUUCCCUGUUCUACCUCCAUCAAUCCACCGAGGAUUCAUCUCAUACAUAGAGACACCACACCAAGCUUUUUCAGGGCGGUUGUGAAAAUGACAGGGAUUGACAUUGCGAUG